Gallus gallus (chicken) is the source of this 799-nucleotide long non-coding RNA. The record is from Ensembl. Lineage: Eukaryota; Metazoa; Chordata; Aves; Galliformes; Phasianidae.
AUGGAUUUGUUGCUGGUUGCCUUUUUUCAAGCUCAGUAGGAGGAUAUGAAGUGCACUGACUGAUAUGUAACUCUUCCGGUGAAACGAAUCAAGAAGCGGAGAUCAAAGCUGCUGAUUUUACUCCACAUGCAGAGUGUUAUUCUCAGAAGCUGAAGACAAUACAAUCAGGAGUCUUCACCCAGGUCUGCUGAGAUCCACGCUAAGAAAUCCAAAGAUUUUAAGACUAAAGUCACACCAAAGGAUGAAGUAAACACUGUCCCUAUCUGCUGGCAAUAUUAUGCUCUCAGCUGCUGUUAUCAUUUUGAAAUAAUCCCCAUCUGAGUGGAAGAGAAUACCUUCUGCUGCACCUCAGCAUGAAUGCUGUCCUCUUGUUCUUCCAUGCGAUGCAUAUCACAGAGGAGGAGGCUCAAGGAGCUCACUGCAUAUGUUCUGCCAUCUUACCAAGUUCAGAAAUUGCCUUCAGAGCAGUCCUGUAUGGUCACAAAUCUGUACUCGGUUAAAAGAUUGUUGUGACAUUCUUAUUAGAAAUCGCUGCAGCAACAGCUUGCCAAAUGAACCGUUAAAAGCAAACCAGAUUCACUGAACCACAAUAAAAUUCAUUAAAGCUUGCUUUGGGCAACAUAUGGUCUUUGAAGGUCUUUAUCUUUUUAACCAUUCAUUUCUUCCAGUGUCUGUGGCAAAGCCUUCCACUUCUCUUCUUAUUUGAAUGUAAAUACUAACUUCUAAUAAUACACAUUCCUCUCAGUGACAUGAUCAUUUGGUGUUGUGUCACUGUUAAAUUAGUCUAUAGACAUACAUA